UUAAAGGGAUUUUCCUUGCCUGUCCAUUUUUCUGGGGGAAGGAUCCUAUUGACGGUGAGGGAGAAAAAUUAGUUGUCAUUGAGAAGCUAUGGUUGUUCGUGAAUCCGAAUAGCUCGGGAUUAGAUGACCCGUUGAUUAACCCGGUAAAGGAUCCGAAUUUGUCUAGCUUAGGAUGUGAUAAAGUAGUUGUGUAUGUGGCCGGA
RNAcentral lists this unclassified non-coding RNA (203 nucleotides) under Hevea brasiliensis (rubber tree). The record is from RNAcentral. Lineage: Eukaryota; Viridiplantae; Streptophyta; Magnoliopsida; Malpighiales; Euphorbiaceae.